This 253-nucleotide ribosomal RNA is filed under the name uncultured bacterium. RNAcentral describes it as "partial 16S ribosomal RNA". It matches the Rfam family "Bacterial small subunit ribosomal RNA", at positions 524 to 776 of the family's 1533-position model. The record is from RNAcentral.
UACGUAGGGGGCAAGCGUUGUCCGGAAUCAUUGGGCGUAAAGAGCGUGUAGGCGGCCUGAUAAGUCGGCUGUGAAAGUCAAGGGCUCAACCCUUGAAUGCCGGCCGAUACUGUCAGGCUAGAGUCCGGAAGAGGCGAGUGGAAUUCCUGGUGUAGCGGUGAAAUGCGCAGAUAUCAGGAGGAACACCUAUGGCGAAGGCGGCUCACUGGCCCGGAACUGACGCUGAGACGCGAAAGCGUGGGGAGCAAACAGG